UGCGUAGGCGGGUCUUUAAGUCAGGGGUGAAAUCCUGGAGCUCAACUCCAGAACUGCCUUUGAUACUGAGGAUCUUGAGUUCGGGAGAGGUGAGUGGAACUGCGAGUGUAGAGGUGAAAUUCGUAGAUAUUCGCAAGAACACCAGUGGCGAAGGCGGCUCACUGGCCCGACACUGACGCUGAGGCACGAAAGCGUGGGGGAGCAAACA
Molecule: ribosomal RNA, 208 nt
Filed under: uncultured bacterium
Lineage: Bacteria
Description: partial 16S ribosomal RNA
Rfam family: Bacterial small subunit ribosomal RNA
Source: RNAcentral